GACGAACGCUGGCGGCGUGCCUAAUACAUGCAAGUAGAACGCUGAAGGAGGAGCUUGCUUCUCUGGAUGAGUUGCGAACGGGUGAGUAACGCGUAGGUAACCUGCCUGGUAGCGGGGGAUAACUAUUGGAAACGAUAGCUAAUACCGCAUAAUAGUAGAUGUUGCAUGACAUUUGCCUAAAAGGUGCAAUUGCAUCACUACCAGAUGGACCUGCGUUGUAUUAGCUAGUUGGUGGGGUAACGGCUCACCAAGGCGACGAUACAUAGCCGACCUGAGAGGGUGAUCGGCCACACUGGGACUGAGACACGGCCCAGACUCCUACGGGAGGCAGCAGUAGGGAAUCUUCGGCAAUGGACGGAAGUCUGACCGAGCAACGCCGCGUGAGUGAAGAAGGUUUUCGGAUCGUAAAGCUCUGUUGUAAGAGAAUAACGAGUGUGAGAGUGGAAAGUUCACACUGUGACGGUAUCUUACCAGAAAGGGACGGCUAACUACGUG
Molecule: ribosomal RNA, 495 nt
Filed under: uncultured bacterium
Lineage: Bacteria
Description: partial 16S ribosomal RNA
Rfam family: Bacterial small subunit ribosomal RNA
Source: RNAcentral